Non-coding RNA from Paramuricea clavata, 801 nucleotides. Lineage: Eukaryota; Metazoa; Cnidaria; Anthozoa; Malacalcyonacea; Plexauridae. The record is from the annotation of a GenBank genome assembly.
CCCCGAAUCUUUAGCUUGGAAUCGAAAACCCCCCGAAUCUUUAAACUUGGAAUCGAAAAAAACCCCGAAUCUUUCAGCUUGGAAUCGAAAAACCCCCGAAUCUUUAAACUUGGAAUCGAAAACCCCUCGAAUCUUUAACCUUGGUAUCGAAGACCACCCGAAUCUUUAAACUCUGAAUCGAAAAAAACCCGAAUCUUUAGACUUGGAAUCGAAAACCCCCCGAAUCUUUAAAUUUGGAAUCGAAAAACCCCCGAAUCUUUAACCUUGGAAUCGAAAACCCCCCGAAUCUUUAAACUUGGAAUCGAAAAACCCCCGAAUCUUUAGGCUUGGAAUCGAAAACCCCCCGAAUCUUUAAACUUGGAAUCGAAAAAAACCCCGAAUCUUUAAGCUUGGAAUCGAAACCCCCCCCCCGAAUCUUUAAACUUGGAAUCGAAAACCCCCCCGAAUCUUUAAGCUUGGAAUCGAAAAACCCCCGAAUCUUUACACUUGGAAUCGAAAAAACCCCGAAUCUUUAAGCUUGGAAUCGAAAACCCCCCGAAUCUUUAAGCUUGGAAUCGAAACCCCCCCAAAUCUUUAAGACCUGGAAGGAAAAAAGCCGGAAUCUUUAAAACCUGUAAUGAAUGGCUUUUUCCAUUCCAGGUUUUAAAGAUUCCGGCUUUUUUUCAUUCCAGGUUUUAAAGGUUCCGGAUUUUUCCAUUCCAUUUCCAUUCAUUUUUGAAAAAGUGGCUAAAAAUGGACGAAAAUUAAAGCUAUAACCUUACUUUUUUGCCAUUUUUUGCCUGUUUUUCAAAAAUGAAAAAA